UGAGGAAUAUUGGUCAAUGGGCGAGAGCCUGAACCAGCCAAGUCGCGUGAAGGAAGACUGCCUUAUGGGUUGUAAACUUCUUUUAUACAGGAAUAAAAAGGCUUACGUGUAGGCCAUUGCAAGUACUGUAUGAAUAAGCAUCGGCUAACUCCGUGCCAGCAGCCGCGGUAAUGCGGAGGAUGCGAGCGUUAUCCGGAUUUAUUGGGUUUAAAGGGUGCGCAGGCGGGCUUUUAAGUCAGCGGUGAAAUCUGGACGCUUAACGUCCAAACUGCCGUUGAAACUGGGAGUCUUGAGUAUGGAUGAAGUAGGCGGAAUUCGUUGUGUAGCGGUGACAUGCAUAGAUAUAACGAGGAACUCCGAUUGCGUAGGCAGCUUACUAAGCCAUAACUGACGCUCAUGCACGAAAGCGUGGGGAUCAAAACAGGAUUAGAUACCCUGGUAGUCCACGCCGUAAAACGAUGAUUACUAGUUGUAUGCGAUAUGAUAGUAUGUGACUAAGCGAAAAGCGAUAAGUAAUCCACCUGGGGAGUACGCCGGCAACGGUGAAACUCAAAUGAAUUGACGGGGUCAUAGCUGUUUCCUG
RNAcentral lists this ribosomal RNA (583 nucleotides) under uncultured bacterium. RNAcentral's name for it is "partial 16S ribosomal RNA". It matches the Rfam family "Bacterial small subunit ribosomal RNA", at positions 355 to 1376 of the family's 1533-position model. The record is from RNAcentral.